GGAUUUUUGGAACUAGGAGUUGGAAUAG
This 28-nucleotide non-coding RNA is filed under the name Cricetulus griseus (Chinese hamster). RNAcentral also lists the same sequence under 2 other names. Lineage: Eukaryota; Metazoa; Chordata; Mammalia; Rodentia; Cricetidae. The record is from RNAcentral.